AUAGAGUAUAACUUGUUUUUGUUAAAGUAUUGUAUUUUUCAUUAAUUAAAAUAUUUGUAUUAUUAUUAUUAUUGCAUUUCUACUUUGACGGUAAGCUGGUCCUGUUGUUGUGCGUGUGUUCGUUUCUAUGCCUGUAUAGGCAUCCAGCGGGGCUUGGUCCUACACAGGCUUGGUCCUACACAGGCUUGGUCCUACACAUGCUUGGUCCUACACAUGCUUGAUCCUACACAGGCUUGGUCCUACACAUGCUUGGUCCUACACAGGCCUGGUCCUACACAGGCUUGGUCCUACACAGGCUUGGUCCUACACAUGCUUGGUCCUACACAGGCUUGGUCCUACACAGGCUUGGUCCUACACAUGCUUGGUCCUACACAGGCCUGGUCCUACACAUGCUUGGUCCUACACAUGCUUGGUCCUACACAGGCUUGGUCCUACACAGGCUUGGUCCUACACAGGCCUGGUCCUACACAGGCCUGAUCCUACACAUGCUUGGUCCUACACAUGCUUGGUCCUACACAGGCUUGGUCCUACACAUGCUUGGUCCUACACAGGCUUGGUCCUACACAGGCCUGGUCCUACUUUAAAAGUAUAUAGUAGCCUACACUGCCAGAAAAGUACAUAGGUUGCUUGUACAGCUAGGGUCCUAAAGUGGCACAGACCCAAUUCACUCCAUAUAGGAUGGACACAUUUAAUAAAGCAGAAAAAGUAAAAAGCAUUACAUUCACAGGCUAUAGUAACCCAGUAAGAUCCAAUCGUGACAAUUCAAUAACACAGAUACACAACUUCCCAUUGCAAAGACAUUAUAGUAAAU
Molecule: long non-coding RNA, 811 nt
Organism: Esox lucius (northern pike)
Lineage: Eukaryota; Metazoa; Chordata; Actinopteri; Esociformes; Esocidae
Source: Ensembl